CCUGAUGCAGCAACGCCGCGUGAGUGAUGACGGCCUUCGGGUUGUAAAGCUCUGUCUUCAGGGACGCUAAUGACGGUACCUGAGGAGGAAGUCACGGCUAACUACGUGCCAGCAGCCGCGGUAAUACGUAGGUGGCAAGCGUUGUCCGGAUUUACUGGGCGUAAAGGGAGCGUAGGCGGACUUUUAAGUGAGAUGUGAAAUACCCGGGCUCAACCUGGGUGCUGCAUUUCAAACUGGAAGUCUAGAGUGCAGGAGAGGAGAGUGGAAUUCCUAGUGUAGCGGUGAAAUGCGUACAGAUUAGGAAGAACACCAGUGGCUAAGGCGACUCUCUGGACUGUCACUGACGCUG
Molecule: ribosomal RNA, 349 nt
Filed under: uncultured bacterium
Lineage: Bacteria
Description: bacterial SSU rRNA
Rfam family: Bacterial small subunit ribosomal RNA
Source: RNAcentral